GAUUUUCCCAACCCAGGUUCGAACCUGGGUCUCCUACAUUGCAGGCAGAUUCUUUACCAUCUGAGCCACCAGGAAAGCCCCAGGGCUCUAGCCAAGAACUUAGACAUAUAAAGGAAAAAGAUACUUUUCCUCCCCAACAUGAUCCAAACUAAAGGUCUAAGAGAAAAAGAUGAGAGAAAAAGAAACAGAGCCUCAAUGGCAAUAUCAAAUUGUCUGUCAUAUGUGGAAUUGAGUCCAAGAAGGAGAGGAAAGAAGGAAUAGGCACAAAUAAAUCUCUUAGAAAAAUAAUGGCAGAAAAAUAUCUAAAUUGAUGAAAAACAACCUACAGAGCCAAGAAGAAAGUCACACACACCUCAGCAUAGCAUAACUGAGUUGUUGAAAAACAAAAUAAACUUUUAAACAAAGCCAGGCAAAAGAAUGAAGGCUAAGCCUCGCAGGAAAAUGACAAGAUAAUGGAUGAUAGUGUUAAAGGAAAAGUAUCAAUCUAGAAUUCUGUAUCUACAAAGUGUUUUUCAAAAAUAAAGGGAAAUAAGUCAUUUUCAAACAACUGAAGCCGAGAGAGCUCAUCAGCAGAUUCUUUACCAUCUGAGCCACCAGGGAAGCCCUCCCUUAAGCCAAAGCCCAAUCCUAAUCAAAGCCCCAGCUCUCUUCACUUCUGAGAAGCCUGAAGAAGGUGAGAAAGCUGCAGAAGAACAGUGUGAAGCUGGCAGAGGGUCUUAGCUCCCUGAUGAGGGAUUGAACCUGAACCCUUGGCAGUGAAAACGCCCAGUCCUAACCACUGGACUGUCAGGGAACACCUUUAUAAUGGAAGAAGAUUCCAUAUAGGACUUUCAGAGCUGGAGACGAGAAGUCAAUGCCUCAGAGGACAGGCAGACUUUCUUGUUAGGGGCUAAAGCAGCUGGUGACUUCAAGAUGAAACUGAAGUUCUUUUACCAUUUCCAAAACCCUGAGGCCCUUCAGAAUUAUGCUAAAUCUACUCUGUCCAUGCUUUAUAAAUGGAAUGACAAAGUCUGGAUGAUGCACAGUACCUUACAACAUGGUUUGCUGAGUAUUUUAAUCCCACUGCUGAAAACUACUGCCCAGAAAAAAAAAGAUUCCUUUCAAA
Molecule: long non-coding RNA, 1105 nt
Organism: Bos taurus (domestic cattle)
Lineage: Eukaryota; Metazoa; Chordata; Mammalia; Artiodactyla; Bovidae
Source: Ensembl